GAAGCUACUUAGAGAAACAGACAAAGACAAAGCAUACAUAAGCAUACCAUAUCCGGGGAGUGACAGAAACCAUGAGCAUUUAAGAUAUUUUUAACAAAACAUGAUGAAAGUCCCAAUUCAAAUAAAAAGCAACAUGUCAGAAACGGAGAAAAGUCAGAAUAUGCACCAAAUCACGUUUUAAUUCAAGCUUGACAGGAGCUAUUACAAAAAUGAAACAAACUUGAAGAUUCAAACCAAAAAUACGGACCUUAGCGAAACUCGACUCGCCGACUUGGCCACCAAACUAAAAAUCACAGGUGAACAAUAUUGACGGAGCUCAGCCCAAUUCAGUCAAAUAGCAACAGCGAAUCUAUGAGCGGACAAGUGAAAAUAAAUUCAGCCGCAACAGAUCCGAACCCAGCGAGACAGCUAUGAACUCGACUUUAACCCAGAAAGAGAAAACGAAGCUCACAAAAACUUUCGCCAACAUCAAACCCAAACACCUCAAAUUCUAUCAAAACUCAAGUCCAUUAUGAAUCUAAAAUUGAAAUCGAAGAGGAGAAACAGAACAGACGUGACAUUGGACAAUUCCGAGCGCUUUUGUGCUAAUUUUCAACCGCAUUUUCUGCUAUUCCCCGCAGCUGGUUUGCUGUAAUUUGGGACUGAUUUCACGCGUUUUGGGUGUAGUUUGUUCCAGCGGGUUUUGGGUGGGGAACGGAGGGUUGAGGCGGUUUUGGAGUCGAUUUCAGGCUAAAGGGGAUGGACGGACGAAAGUGCUGCUACUGGUUUUUCCGUUUGGAAAUGGAAGGAAAUUCCAUUUGUUCUCUGGAUCAGAAAGAAACAUGGAAUCGCCCCUUUGCUAGUUCUCCGUCCGUUUUUGUGUAUUUUUCUAUCCUCUUUUUCAUUGGGCACGGAAUGGUUUUAUAAAGUGUGUGGGGGAGUAAGAUUGUUAUGCGGGGAAUUUUAUUUGGGAAGAAAGUGUUAUGUGAGGUAAUAUUUUUGAGUAAGGUUUUAGGUGGAC
This 1000-nucleotide long non-coding RNA is filed under the name Nicotiana benthamiana. Its description in RNAcentral is "long non-coding RNA (NBEN_LNC015691)". The record is from RNAcentral. Lineage: Eukaryota; Viridiplantae; Streptophyta; Magnoliopsida; Solanales; Solanaceae.